This 923-nucleotide ribosomal RNA is filed under the name Alternaria sp. TD3. RNAcentral's name for it is "eukaryotic LSU rRNA". It matches the Rfam family "Eukaryotic large subunit ribosomal RNA", at positions 49 to 991 of the family's 3401-position model. The record is from RNAcentral. Lineage: Eukaryota; Fungi; Ascomycota; Dothideomycetes; Pleosporales; Pleosporaceae.
AACGGGGAAAAGAAACAACAGGGAUUGCCCUAGUAACGGCGAGUGAAGCGGCAACAGCUCAAAUUUGAAAUCUGGCUCUUUUAGAGUCCGAGUUGUAAUUUGCAGAGGGCGCUUUGGCUUUGGCAGCGGUCCAAGUUCCUUGGAACAGGACGUCACAGAGGGUGAGAAUCCCGUACGUGGUCGCUGGCUAUUGCCGUGUAAAGCCCCUUCGACGAGUCGAGUUGUUUGGGAAUGCAGCUCUAAAUGGGAGGUACAUUUCUUCUAAAGCUAAAUAUUGGCCAGAGACCGAUAGCGCACAAGUAGAGUGAUCGAAAGAUGAAAAGCACUUUGGAAAGAGAGUCAAACAGCACGUGAAAUUGUUGAAAGGGAAGCGCUUGCAGCCAGACUUGCUUACAGUUGCUCAUCCGGGUUUUUACCCGGUGCACUCUUCUGUAGGCAGGCCAGCAUCAGUUUGGGCGGUAGGAUAAAGGUCUCUGUCACGUACCUCCUUUCGGGGAGGCCUUAUAGGGGAGACGACAUACUACCAGCCUGGACUGAGGUCCGCGCAUCUGCUAGGAUGCUGGCGUAAUGGCUGUAAGCGGCCCGUCUUGAAACACGGACCAAGGAGUCUAACAUCUAUGCGAGUGUUUGGGUGUCAAGCCCGAGCGCGUAAUGAAAGUGAACGGAGGUGGGAACCCGCAAGGGUGCACCAUCGACCGAUCCUGAUGUCUUCGGAAGGAUUUGAGUAAGAGCAUGGCUGUUGGGACCCGAAAGAUGGUGAACUAUGCUUGAAUAGGGUGAAGCCAGAGGAAACUCUGGUGGAGGCUCGCAGCGGUUCUGACGUGCAAAUCGAUCGUCAAAUUUGGGCAUAGGGGCGAAAGACUAAUCGAACUAUCUAGUAGCUGGUUCCUGCGAGUUCUCCUCCCCAAAAGAAAAAAAGAAAC